Molecule: long non-coding RNA, 2067 nt
Organism: Oncorhynchus keta (chum salmon)
Lineage: Eukaryota; Metazoa; Chordata; Actinopteri; Salmoniformes; Salmonidae
Exons: 3
Source: RefSeq, a predicted model, not a curated record
GAGAGAAUGGGUUAGGUAUAGUGAAUUAAGUUAUAACAAGAGAGAAUGGGUUAGGUAUAGUGAAUUAAGUUAUAACAAGAGAGAAUGGGUUAGGUAUAGUGAAUUAAGUUAUAACAAGAGAGAAUGGGUUAGGUAUAGUGAAUUAAGUUAUAACAAGAGAGAAUGGGUUAGGUAUAGUGAAUUAAGUUAUAACAAGAGAGAAUGGGUUAGGUAUAGUGAAUUAAGUUAUAACAAGAGCGAAUGGGUUAGGUAUAGUGAAUUAAGUUAUAACAAGAGAGAAUGGGUUAGGUAUAGUGAAUUAAGUUAUAACAAGAGAGAAUGGGUUAGGUAUAGUGAAUUAAGUUAUAACAAGAGCGAAUGGGUUAGGUAUAGUGAAUUAAGUUAUAACAAGAGAGAAUGGGUUAGGUAUAGUGAAUUAAGUUAUAACAAGAGAGAAUGGGUUAGGUAUAGUGAAUUAAGUUAUAACAAGAGCGAAUGGGUUAGGUAUAGUGAAUUAAGUUAUAACAAGAGAGAAUGGGUUAGGUAUAGUGAAUUAAGUUAUAACAAGAGAGAAUGGGUUAGGUAUAGUGAAUUAAGUUAUAACAAGAGAGAAUGGGUUAGGUAUAGUGAAUUAAGUUAUAACAAGAGCGAAUGGGUUAGGUAUAGUGAAUUAAGUUAUAACAAGAGAGAAUGGGUUAGGUAUAGUGAAUUAAGUUAUAACAAGAGAGAAUGGGUUAGGUAUAGUGAAUUAAGUCAUAACAGUGUACUUUAUCUUACACAUUUUCUACACUCACUGCUUCAUCUAAUGUGAACAUGAUGUUUUAUAAUAAUCUGUGUUUAGUGUAAGGUGAUCGUGAUGUUAAAGUAAUACUUUUCUGUAAAAGCUGUUCACCACUGGAACCAACUUCCAGAAUGGUUCAAAUGUGUCGCAGAUACCUGGAAUUAUACAGAUAACCCUAGUGAGGAUGUCUGUCCUAUAGAGAGGACACAUCUAACUGCCUUAUCAAAUCCUGGAAUUAUACAGAUAACCCUAGUGAGGAUGUCUGUCCUAUAGAGAGGACACAUCUAACUGCCUUAUCAAAUCGUGGAAUUAUACAGAUAACCCUAGUGAGGAUGUCUGUCCUAUAGAGAGGACACAUCUAACUGCCUUAUCAAAUCCUGGAAUUAUACAGAUAACCCUAGUGAGGAUGUCUGUCCUAUAGAGAGGACACAUCUAACUGCCUUAUCAAAUCCUGGAAUUAUACAGAUAACCCUAGUGAGGAUGUCUGUCCUAUAGAGAGGACACAUCUAACUGCCUUAUCAAAUCCUGGAAUUAUACAGAUAACCCUAGUGAGGAUGUCUGUCCUAUAGAGAGGACACAUCUAACUGCCUUAUCAAAUCCUGGAAUUAUACAGAUAACCCUAGUGAGGAUGUCUGUCCUAUAGAGAGGACACAUCCAACUGCCUUAUCAAAUCGUGGGGUUUUUUCCCCUUAUUUUUUUUGUGGUGGAAAACGGAGUGCAUGAAACACAACACAUCAACCAGAACGAAGUGAAUUGUUAAAACAUUUCUAGGCUGUUUGUGAAGCUUUCAUUCAAUUGCCCAUCCCUGUUGCACACAACAAGCUUCUCUGUCACAAGGGGAUUUAUGACAAAUUUAAAAUAAAAGCCUCAACAGUGAUACAGUCUAAUCUGUUACUGAAAUCGCACUUUAAAUGGCACUUACUAUAGACUUUUUUAAAUUUGACCCCUUGAGACAGGAAAACAUGUUUUUUUAUUAAGUUGAACAUGUACUCUUUAUGACAGAAUGUAAAAUGUUAAACUACCCAAAAUGUAGUCUAUUUGUAGACAGACCCAUUUAGUUUCCUUAUAUCCUACAAUCCAUUUUCAGGUUGUCUUCUUUUUACUUGAAUAAGAAUCAGAUUACAUUGUCAGACAAAUCUGUAUCGUUUUCUGGCGAUGUUGGCAAAAAAAGUGAAUGUGAUAAACCAAAUAUAAUGUUUGUGGUAUCUGGUCUGGAAAGCUUUAUGAUAACAUGUUUGUGUGCUGUAUGUUAAUUACCAUCCUACAAUGUAAAAGUUCUUCAUAUCAAAACACUAUAAAACUCCUGG